RNAcentral lists this ribosomal RNA (254 nucleotides) under uncultured bacterium. Its description in RNAcentral is "partial 16S ribosomal RNA". It matches the Rfam family "Bacterial small subunit ribosomal RNA", at positions 524 to 776 of the family's 1533-position model. The record is from RNAcentral.
UACGAAGGGUGCAAACGUUGCUCGGAAUUAUUGGGCGUAAAGCGCACGUAGGCGGCAUUGCAAGUCGGAUGUGAAAUCCCUCGGCUUAACCAAGGAAGUGCAUCCGAAACUGCAGUGCUUGAGUACUUAAGAGGAUCGCGGAAUUCCCGGUGUAGAGGUGAAAUGCGUAGAUAUCUGGAGGAACACCGGUGGCGAAGGCGGCAUCCUGGACCAACACUGACGCUGAGUGAGCGAAAGCCAGGGGAGCAAACGGG